UCCCUGGUGGAUCAGUGGUUAGGACUCAGCACUUUCACUGCCAUGGGCCUGGGUUCAAUCCCUGGCCAGGGAC
This 73-nucleotide transfer RNA is filed under the name Ovis aries (sheep). It matches the Rfam family "tRNA". From Rfam's summary of the family: Transfer RNA (tRNA) molecules are approximately 80 nucleotides in length. Their secondary structure includes four short double-helical elements and three loops (D, anti-codon, and T loops). The record is from Rfam by way of RNAcentral. Lineage: Eukaryota; Metazoa; Chordata; Mammalia; Artiodactyla; Bovidae.